UCCGAUAUGGUGUAGUGGCCAACAUGAUGCCCUCUCACCGUCCGAGAGGUUAGGCAUAGCCCCGAGUUCGAUUCUCGGUUUCGGAA
Molecule: transfer RNA, 86 nt
Filed under: Colletotrichum cereale
Lineage: Eukaryota; Fungi; Ascomycota; Sordariomycetes; Glomerellales; Glomerellaceae
Description: tRNA-Glu
Rfam family: tRNA
About the family: Transfer RNA (tRNA) molecules are approximately 80 nucleotides in length. Their secondary structure includes four short double-helical elements and three loops (D, anti-codon, and T loops). Further hydrogen bonds mediate the characteristic L-shaped molecular structure. tRNAs have two regions of fundamental functional importance: the anti-codon, which is responsible for specific mRNA codon recognition, and the 3' end, to which the tRNAs corresponding amino acid is attached (by aminoacyl-tRNA synthetases). tRNAs cope with the degeneracy of the genetic code in two manners: having more than one tRNA (with a specific anti-codon) for a particular amino acid; and 'wobble' base-pairing, i.e. permitting non-standard base-pairing at the 3rd anti-codon position.
Source: RNAcentral